AGCUCUGACCCUAGACCUUAAGAUGAUCUGCAGACUUCUCUCUCUCUUGAAACCCUCACCAGUAACCACAUGGACAAGUCUGAGCCAGCCUGCUGGAUGAGGAAAAAAAUACACAGACUCCAGCCACCAUGAUAUUCCUGGCCACUAGCCAGCUACUGCCCCAGAAGCAAAGCUAUAGGCCAGCCUCAUUUGCUGAGCCACAGGACAGUAAGAUAAAGACGCCAAGAUGGAGACAAUGCCCUUACUGGACUAUGAGGAUUCCAACUCACUCAUCCCACCACAAAGUGCUGCUCCUCUGUCUUGCCCUUCAACUCUGUCUCUCCCAGCUGCAACCCUUACUGCUUCUGCCCAUGCCUGUGAAUGGCCCCAGCAGCCCAGCCUGCCCAUCACUCAAGAAAGCCAAAUGCCACAUUCUGCACUUCCACAGCAUGUAACAAAUAGCUAGAAUGCCUGUAAGAAGUUAAAUAAAAAUCUUUUGAAAUUCUAGGCUGUGAUCUAGAGGCAGGCCAGGAAAUAGCUCAA
Non-coding RNA from Microcebus murinus (gray mouse lemur), 522 nucleotides. The record is from RefSeq and is a predicted model, not a curated record. NCBI's taxonomy places the organism in Eukaryota, Metazoa, Chordata, Mammalia, Primates, Cheirogaleidae.